RNAcentral lists this long non-coding RNA (1077 nucleotides) under Piliocolobus tephrosceles (Ugandan red Colobus). RNAcentral's name for it is "lncRNA (ENSPTEG00000018965.1)". The record is from RNAcentral. Lineage: Eukaryota; Metazoa; Chordata; Mammalia; Primates; Cercopithecidae.
AGUGUAUUAAUAUAAUAAAAUCAGUUUGUAUUUAUUUAUAUAUAAACACGAAACAUUUAAAUAUAAAAGAACUUAAUGAGAUAGUAAUUAACUUAUUAAAAAUACAGAAGAAAUGCCCAUUUGACAUUACCAAUGAUACUAUUAAUAAAUUUAUUAAUGUAUUAUCUUAUCGCAUUUUUUUAUUCAACAGUAGAAAAGAAGAAAAGAGUAAACAAGGAUACAAUUACGACUUAACAUGUAAUGACAUAAACAACGACAAUAGUAUAGCUCAUAUAACUCAAAGCAUUGAAACGAAUUCUAUAAAAUCAUCAAAUCUUGUUAAUAAAAUAUAUGCACAUUGUGAGUGCUCUAUUAACAAUAGCAACACCCCUGUUCAUAAUAUAAAUUGUGAAAACGUAGCAGAAGGAAAUAGUAAUAGUGAAAAUAGCAGAACCUAUGAAAGGGGGAAGUUAAAAAAUGAUGUAAUACUUUUCAGUGACAUAACAAAGUUGUUAUAUCAAAUUAUUGUAUGGAAUAAUGGAAUAAAAAAUAACAAUGCUGUCCCUCGCAAAUGUAGUAACACUGUCGUAUCACCUGAAUGUAGUAAUAGUAUCGUCUCACUCGAAUGCAGGAACUUAAUAAAAAAUAUACUCAUUUUUUCAAAAAGAGAAAUGCAAAAAAAUAUAAAUAUUGUCAAUACUAUAGGGAGCAACAAUGAGACGAUAAAAAUAAAUAACAAAAUAUUAUGGCAAAACUGCAUAUCUUUAUUAUAUAGUUUAACUAUAAUAUACAAUAAAAGUUAUAACAAUGAGUAUAUAACCAUCUUCGAAUAUUUUAUUAAUCUUUUCUUUUGCCAUUUUAACGUUAACACAAAUAAUAAACUGAUGUUAAUGAAGUUUAAGGAUUUGCCUCAAUUGUUGGUAAAAAGAAAUAGUAGUGACGGUACUACUUUCAACAAUGAAGAUAACAAACUGAGUGAAGAACUGUAUGAGCAAGUAAUAAAAACUAGAAACUUUUUUUUGACCAGUUCCAAUGGAAAAAGUCAUACCUCUUUCAAUAAUAAUAAUAUACAUUCGUUUUUGUUUGUGUUGGGAUGUG